Brassica napus (rape) is the source of this 1672-nucleotide long non-coding RNA. RefSeq lists it as uncharacterized. Lineage: Eukaryota; Viridiplantae; Streptophyta; Magnoliopsida; Brassicales; Brassicaceae. The record is from RefSeq and is a predicted model, not a curated record. The transcript is spliced from 2 exons.
UGCACUUAUUUCUCUUUCUUUUUAAGUCAUAAACUUGUUCCUCAAGGUUAUUCCUCUUUCCAUAUCUCUAAGAUACUCCCUUGCUUUCCAAGUCUACACGAUUCCAGCUCAGCAUCUUGACUCUACAUGGUCUUCACCAUUUAACCCGACGUCUAUUUCAGCAACUACGUCAGCGAUUACUUCAGGGUAGACAUCUUACAUCUUCAACAUGUGUGUGUUUAAUUGUUUGUUGUGUUUUUUUGUCGGCUUUCUAUUAUUUUGUCAAUAAUCGAGAAAUGAUUCAUAAUAAUUCUCUCAUUAUUAUUUAUAAAUUUAAUUAGUGGUGAAGGCAUGGGAUAAAAUUUCACGUAACAAAGAUAUCGGAUCCGGAUCACGCUAACCGAAUGAUCUAUAUAAUUUUCUAUUAAAAUCGGUUUGAUUACUGGUAACCGGUCACGCGAGACCGGCAGAUGUCUCUAAAAAGACAAAAGAGUUUUAUCCUUUUUUAGCCAAACUCUCCGCUUUUUAGUACCGUCUUCAUUUUUUCAACGCCUUAGCUUUUACGAUAGACGAAGAAUCUUAACUUUCUUGUUUUACAGAAGAAGACUCUCUCCGUCUACCAAAGAAGUGACUCAUGGUUCACAUUCGAGUUGCCUCUCUGCAGUGUUAACAACGAUGAGGAUGUGCCUUUUCAAAAUCAAUGACUGGCAAGUGGCUUUCACGAAUUUGAACUGUUUCUUGGUAAAUUUUGGGCUAUAUAUGUGUUUUUUUAGAUAAUGGAUGCUUAAAUUGUGCUAUCUUCUCACCAGGUUGGUUCAAGCUCAGUAUCAAGAAACAGUGCUACGGCCAGUGAGCAUUUGUUUAACAGAAAUGCGGCUCGAGUUGAUUGGAGAAUUGACAACCCUAUCUCAGACAUAUUGAUUGAUUCGUUUGGUCGGUUAUAUACCUACUUGAGGAUAUCUUUGACAGAACGGUCAACGCUGUAACCUCCGGUGUCAGUAUUGUAGGCCGUCUGAAGGCGUGGAGCUUACUCCAAAGCUUCAGUUUCUGUCUCAGUCAGAUAUUGUUAGGUUGGCUGGUCUUUUUGUUUCUUGGGUUACCAAGAUUAGGUUGACCGGUGGCUAGCCUACUUUUAGGAAAGAUAUCGAAGAGAAGAAUUUUGCCAACUGAGAAGUUGACUUAGUGUAUGAAUCCCUUGGGUCACUUAGCUGGAGUAUAAGGGAUCAUAGUAAAGCGAUAUUUGAUGCUAAUGUGUUGUCAACUUGUCAUGGAGGGGUUGAAUGAUGAUGCAAUUUGUGAUUUUGUAAAGUUGACACGAAAUAAGCCUAUCAAUGUCCGGUUCAUAGCGCUUAUCCAUUUCAUGAUGGAAAUGUUUGGAAUGUAAAGAAACUUGUGCCUUACGCAGAUAUCAUGUAUGAUAAAGUGGUAAUGUAAAGUUCUUUUAAUGUUUAGCCCUUUUGAGAUUAAUUCGUCGACCUUUCCUUUGAGCAUAUUCAUGAAAUACUUCUCCAAUCGAGCAAAAGGAAAGUUAAUAUCAAUGGCGACCAAAAGAACUAUAAUAUCAAUAAAGGAUUAUACUAAAUUAUAAACAUACUAAAUUGUUUUGGAAUGUACAUGGUACGGCUUAAUACUGUAUCUACAUAGAGUACUGACAAAUUUUACAUCAAUAUAACGAAUCAAUCAUUCAAACUGG